AUUGAACGCUGGCGGCAUGCCUUACACAUGCAAGUCGAACGGCAUCGCGGGAAAGCUUGCUUUCCUGGCGGCGAGUGGCGAACGGGUGAGUAACACAUCGGAACGUACCGGCUAGUGGGGGAUAACCCGUCGAAAGACGGGCUAAUACCGCAUACGCUCUUCGGAGGAAAGCAGGGGACCUUUGGGCCUUGCGCUAGCCGAGCGGCCGAUGUCCGAUUAGCUAGUUGGUGGGGUAAAGGCCUACCAAGGCGACGAGCGGUAGCGGGUCUGAGAGGACGAUCCGCCACACUGGGACUGAGACACGGCCCAGACUCCUACGGGAGGCAGCAGUGGGGAAUCUUGGACAAAGGGGGCAACCCUGAUCCAGCAAUGCCGCGUGGGUGAAGAAGGCCUUCGGGUUGUAAAGCCCUUUCGGCAGGGAAGAAAUCGGCGGGGCGAAUACCCCUGCUGGAUGACGGUACCUGCAGAAGAAGCACCGGCUAACUACGUG
Molecule: ribosomal RNA, 490 nt
Filed under: uncultured bacterium
Lineage: Bacteria
Description: partial 16S ribosomal RNA
Rfam family: Bacterial small subunit ribosomal RNA
Source: RNAcentral